UAAAUUGAUGUUGAUACACUAAGCUGGCCUUUAUCUUGCAGGUCCAAUGAGUACUGCAGAUUAACUAAAAAUUCAAAGUCCAGAACCGUAAAUGGAACUAGAACACCAACGGCAUUUAAUUUGUGAUAGAAAGUAGACAUUGUAUGGCCUAUUUUAAUACAAAUAUGAUACCACUGCAGCUUUAGAAGCCUAAUAGUGUCAGGCAGAUCAAGUAGAUUGCAUGUGAGUGAGACACAUUCUAUUCCUGGAAAGGUCAGUAUCUCUGACAUUGUGAGAGGAUCAUCUUAUGAGUAUUGGACACUGAUACAUCUGUCUGUUACCAGUCCAUCUGUCCAUGACUACAGGGGAAAGCAAAAAGCAUUUACUACAUACCUUGAGAGGGAAAUAAGCAGCAUGAACUAAGGAGGAUAACCUGAAAGGAGAUGUAUUUUGUACACAACAGGACAAGCUAAGUCAUCAGUCCUUUGUAUAACAAAACUUGUAGACAAAGAUUAUAACAGGACAAUGAUAAUAACAGGAGUUAUUAUCCAAAGAUUUAUUCAAACCUA
RNAcentral lists this long non-coding RNA (548 nucleotides) under Cyanistes caeruleus (blue tit). RNAcentral's name for it is "lncRNA (ENSCCEG00000016668.1)". The record is from RNAcentral. Lineage: Eukaryota; Metazoa; Chordata; Aves; Passeriformes; Paridae.